AUACGUAGGGGGUUAGCGUUAUCCGGAAUUACUGGGCGUAAAGGGUGCGUAGGUGGUUUCUUAAGUCAGAAGUGAAAGGCUACGGCUCAACCGUAGUAAGCUUUUGAAACUAAGAGACUUGAGUGCGGGAGAGGAGAGUAGAAUUCCUAGUGUAGCGGUGAAAUGCAUAGAUAUUAGGAGGAAUACCAGUUGCGAAGGCGGUUCUCUGGACUGUAACUGACACGGAGGCACGAGAGCGGGGGGAACAAACAGGAUUAGAUACCCUGGGAGUCCGCGCCGUAAACGAGGAGUACUAGCUGUCGGGGGUUACCCCCCUCGGUGGCGCAGCUAACGCAUUAAGUACUCCGCCUGGGAAGUACGCUCGCAAGAGUGAAACUCAAAGGAAUUGACGGGG
RNAcentral lists this ribosomal RNA (394 nucleotides) under uncultured bacterium. Its description in RNAcentral is "partial 16S ribosomal RNA". It matches the Rfam family "Bacterial small subunit ribosomal RNA", at positions 523 to 918 of the family's 1533-position model. The record is from RNAcentral.